RNAcentral lists this ribosomal RNA (843 nucleotides) under Bacillus licheniformis. RNAcentral describes it as "bacterial SSU rRNA". It matches the Rfam family "Bacterial small subunit ribosomal RNA", at positions 51 to 874 of the family's 1533-position model. The record is from RNAcentral. Lineage: Bacteria; Bacillati; Bacillota; Bacilli; Caryophanales; Bacillaceae.
CUAUAAUGCAGUCGAGCGGACCGACGGGAGCUUGCUCCCUUAGGUCAGCGGCGGACGGGUGAGUAACACGUGGGUAACCUGCCUGUAAGACUGGGAUAACUCCGGGAAACCGGGGCUAAUACCGGAUGCUUGAUUGAACCGCAUGGUUCAAUUAUAAAAGGUGGCUUUUAGCUACCACUUACAGAUGGACCCGCGGCGCAUUAGCUAGUUGGUGAGGUAACGGCUCACCAAGGCAACGAUGCGUAGCCGACCUGAGAGGGUGAUCGGCCACACUGGGACUGAGACACGGCCCAGACUCCUACGGGAGGCAGCAGUAGGGAAUCUUCCGCAAUGGACGAAAGUCUGACGGAGCAACGCCGCGUGAGUGAUGAAGGUUUUCGGAUCGUAAAACUCUGUUGUUAGGGAAGAACAAGUACCGUUCGAAUAGGGCGGUACCUUGACGGUACCUAACCAGAAAGCCACGGCUAACUACGUGCCAGCAGCCGCGGUAAUACGUAGGUGGCAAGCGUUGUCCGGAAUUAUUGGGCGUAAAGCGCGCGCAGGCGGUUUCUUAAGUCUGAUGUGAAAGCCCCCGGCUCAACCGGGGAGGGUCAUUGGAAACUGGGGAACUUGAGUGCAGAAGAGGAGAGUGGAAUUCCACGUGUAGCGGUGAAAUGCGUAGAGAUGUGGAGGAACACCAGUGGCGAAGGCGACUCUCUGGUCUGUAACUGACGCUGAGGCGCGAAAGCGUGGGGAGCGAACAGGAUUAGAUACCCUGGUAGUCCACGCCGUAAACGAUGAGUGCUAAGUGUUAGAGGGUUUCCGCCCUUUAGUGCUGCAGCAAACGCAUUAAGCACUCCGCCU